Polyodon spathula (Mississippi paddlefish) is the source of this 350-nucleotide long non-coding RNA. RefSeq lists it as uncharacterized. The record is from RefSeq and is a predicted model, not a curated record. Lineage: Eukaryota; Metazoa; Chordata; Actinopteri; Acipenseriformes; Polyodontidae. The transcript is spliced from 3 exons.
UGCUCAUGGAAUGUUCAAUCAUUUUCAAAUCUUUUUUUUUUUUUUUUUUUGGAAUGAAGGACAAUUAAAUGCUAGGAUUUUGAAUGGCAAACACAUAAAUUGCAAAAUGGAUUUUAAGGUUACAACCAGAUGCGGAAGAUGCAGACAGCUUGGGGCCAAAGAUGAGAAAAAUAAUCUAAAAACUACGGACACACCAGCAUCUCUGCCACGAGCAUCUGACACUUCUCCAACACCAUUAUUGAUUUCUCCCGCUAGUAGCUGUGGGAGCAUUUCUCCAGGCAGUCACCCCGUGAGUGCCAAAAGGCCAAGUGAGCAGAGGACAGCUACUAAUGAUAUUAAGUUCAUCGCUU